CGGAGAAGAAGGGCGACUUCC
RNAcentral lists this unclassified non-coding RNA (21 nucleotides) under Mus musculus (house mouse). Its description in RNAcentral is "oocyte_clustered_small_RNA10701". Lineage: Eukaryota; Metazoa; Chordata; Mammalia; Rodentia; Muridae. The record is from RNAcentral.